UCCCACAGUUGUGUGAUUGUCUCUGCCAU
Molecule: non-coding RNA, 29 nt
Filed under: Rattus norvegicus (Norway rat)
Lineage: Eukaryota; Metazoa; Chordata; Mammalia; Rodentia; Muridae
Source: RNAcentral